CAGCCGCCACGGUAAUACGAAGGGUGCAAGCGUUAAUCGGAAUUACUGGGCGUAAAGCGUGCGUAGGCGGUGAGUUAAGUCUGCUGUGAAAUCCCCGGGCUCAACCUGGGAAUGGCAGUGGAUACUGGCUCGCUAGAGUGUGUCAGAGGAUGGUGGAAUUCCCGGUGUAGCGGUGAAAUGCGUAGAGAUCUGGAGGAAUACCGGUGGCGAAGGCGGCCCCCUGGACAAAGACUGACGCUCAGGUGCGAAAGCGUGGGGAGCAAACAGGAUUAGAUACCCCUGUAGUCCCUGUCUCUUAUAC
Molecule: ribosomal RNA, 301 nt
Filed under: uncultured bacterium
Lineage: Bacteria
Description: partial 16S ribosomal RNA
Rfam family: Bacterial small subunit ribosomal RNA
Source: RNAcentral